This is a non-coding RNA of Neurospora tetraspora, 89 nucleotides long. Lineage: Eukaryota; Fungi; Ascomycota; Sordariomycetes; Sordariales; Sordariaceae. The record is from the annotation of a RefSeq genome assembly.
UCCCAUAUAGUGCAUAGGUUUAGCAUAUUGGAUUUUCAACUUCCACAUUGAAAUCUCCAAAGACCCGGGUUCGAACCCCGGUGUGGGAA